UUGGAGGGCAGUCUGGUGCCAGCAGCCGCGGUAAUUCCAGCUCCAAUAGCGUAUAUUAAAGUUGUUGCAGUUAAAAAGCUCGUAGUUGAACUUCGGGGUCUACCCAUUGGUCAGGCUUAAUUGUCUGCACUGGUGAGAUGGAUCUCUACCUUCUGAGGAACUUUCAUGCCAUUUAUUUGGUGUGAUGGGAAAUCAGGACUGUUACUUUGAAAAAAUUAGAGUGUUUAAAGCAGACUAUCGUCUGAAUACAUUAGCAUGGAAUAAUGAAAUAGGACGGACUGAUUCUAUUUCGUUGGUUUCUAGGAUCACCGUAAUGAUUAAUAGGGAUAGUUGGGGGCAUUAGUAUUCAAUUGUCAGAGGUGAAAUUCUUGGAUUUAUUGAAGACUAACUACUGCGAAAGCAUUUGCCAAGGAUGUUUUCAUUAAUCAAGAACGAAAGUUAGGGGAUCGAAGACGAUCAGAUACCGUCGUAGUCUUAACCAUAAACUAUGCCGACUAGGGAUCGGAUGAUGUUAAUUUUUUAAUGACUCAUUCGGCGCCUUACGGGAAAC
This 550-nucleotide ribosomal RNA is filed under the name uncultured Glomeromycotina. RNAcentral describes it as "SSU rRNA". It matches the Rfam family "Eukaryotic small subunit ribosomal RNA", at positions 548 to 1098 of the family's 1831-position model. The record is from RNAcentral. Lineage: Eukaryota; Fungi; Glomeromycota.